UACGUAGGGGGCAAGCGUUGUCCGGAAUCAUUGGGCGUAAAGCGCGUGUAGGCGGCUCGAUAAGUCUGCUGUGAAAAUCCGGGGCUCAACCCCGGACUUGCAGUGGGUACGGGCAGACUAGAGUGUGGUAGGGGAGACUGGAAUUCCUGGUGUAGCGGUGGAAUGCGCAGAUAUCAGGAGGAACACCAAUAGCGAAGGCAGCUCGCUGGGACGUUACUGACACUGAGGCGCGAAAGCGUGGGGAGCGAACAGG
Molecule: ribosomal RNA, 253 nt
Filed under: uncultured bacterium
Lineage: Bacteria
Description: partial 16S ribosomal RNA
Rfam family: Bacterial small subunit ribosomal RNA
Source: RNAcentral